RNAcentral lists this non-coding RNA (88 nucleotides) under Pseudomonas helmanticensis. Lineage: Bacteria; Pseudomonadati; Pseudomonadota; Gammaproteobacteria; Pseudomonadales; Pseudomonadaceae. The record is from RNAcentral.
UGUGGGAGCGAGCCUGCUCGCGAAUGCAUUCUUUCAGUGACAUUGCUGCGGCUGAUACACCGCCAUCGCGAGCAGGCUCGCUCCCACA